CGUAGGUGACCUGCGGAGGAUCAUU
RNAcentral lists this ribosomal RNA (25 nucleotides) under Naganishia friedmannii. RNAcentral's name for it is "partial 18S ribosomal RNA". RNAcentral also lists the same sequence under 1 other name. Lineage: Eukaryota; Fungi; Basidiomycota; Tremellomycetes; Filobasidiales; Filobasidiaceae. The record is from RNAcentral.